This 443-nucleotide ribosomal RNA is filed under the name uncultured bacterium. RNAcentral's name for it is "bacterial SSU rRNA". It matches the Rfam family "Bacterial small subunit ribosomal RNA", at positions 79 to 518 of the family's 1533-position model. The record is from RNAcentral.
AAUACCGUGGUGGCGACCGGCGCACGGGUGCGUAACGCGUAUGCAACCUGCCCCCAUCAGGGGAAUAGCCCGCCGAAAGGCGGAUUAAUGCCCCAUAGGCCCAGGGCGCCGCAUGGCGCUAUGGGUAAAGCUCCGGCGGAUGGGGAUGGGCAGUGCGUGCCAUUAGCGUAGUUGGGGCGGUAACGGCGCACCAAGGCGACGAUGGCUAGGGGGUCUGAGAGGAUGGUCCCCCACACUGGUACUGAGACACGGACCAGACUCCUACGGGAGGCAGCAGUGAGGAAUAUUGGUCAAUGGGCGGAAGCCUGAACCAGCCAUGCCGCGUGCAGGAUGACGGCCCUACGGGUUGUAAACUGCUUUUCCCCGGGAAGAAUAAGCCCCUCGUGAGGGGUGAUGCCGGUACCGGGGGAAUAAGGAUCGGCUAACUCCGUGCCAGCCGCUGC